Molecule: ribosomal RNA, 343 nt
Filed under: uncultured bacterium
Lineage: Bacteria
Description: bacterial SSU rRNA
Rfam family: Bacterial small subunit ribosomal RNA
Source: RNAcentral
AUUGAACGCUGGCGGCGUGCCUAACACAUGCAAGUCGAGCGGUAACAGGUGUAGCAAUACAUGCUGACGAGCGGCGGACGGGUGAGUAACGCUUGGGAAUCUGCCUAUUAGUGGGGGACGAACCCGGGGAAACGUCGGGCGUAAUACCGCAUACGCUCUACGGAGGAAAGCCGGGGACCGGCAAGGCCUGGCGCUAAUAGAUGAGCCCAAGUCGGAUUAGCUAGUUGGUAGGGAACGGCCUACCAAGGCUACGAUCCGUAACUGGUCUGAGAGGACGACCAGUCACACCGGAACUGAGACACGGUCCGGACUCCUACGGGAGGCAGCAGUGGGGAAGUAUUGG